AGUGAACGCUGGCGGCAGGCCUAACACAUGCAAGUCGAACGGCAGCACAGUACGUGCUCGCUCUUACGGGUGGCGACUGGCGGGCAGGGCAGGAGAACCUCCGUAUCUACUUUUUCGUAGGGGAUAAAGUAGGGAAAAUUACGCCAUUACCGCAGACGAACUACGGGUGAAAUCAUCGGACCUUCCGACCUUACACGAUUGAAUGAGCCGAGGUCGGAUUAGCUAGUUAGAGGGGUAAAGGCCCACCAAGGCGACGAUCCGUAGCUGGUCUGAGAGGAUGAUCAGUCACACUGGAACUGAGACACGGUCCAGACUCCUACGGGAGGCAGCAGUGGGGAAUAUUGGACAAUGGGCGCAAGCCUGAUCCAGCCAUACCGCGUGUGUGAAGAAGGCCUUCGGGUUGUAAAGCCCUUUUGUUUGGGAAGAAAAGCAGCAGGUUAAUACCCCGCUGUUCUGACGGUACCCAAAGAAUAAGCACCGGCUAACUUCGUG
Molecule: ribosomal RNA, 492 nt
Filed under: uncultured bacterium
Lineage: Bacteria
Description: partial 16S ribosomal RNA
Rfam family: Bacterial small subunit ribosomal RNA
Source: RNAcentral